UCAAAUCUUUUCUGGGCUGGUCAGUUUUUUAAGUUACCAGCCCAGAUGUCUGGCUGGGUUUUUGGCUUAUUUCAUACACUGACACAACUCACUGAAA
Molecule: long non-coding RNA, 97 nt
Organism: Haliotis rubra (blacklip abalone)
Lineage: Eukaryota; Metazoa; Mollusca; Gastropoda; Lepetellida; Haliotidae
Exons: 3
Source: RefSeq, a predicted model, not a curated record